This 304-nucleotide ribosomal RNA is filed under the name uncultured bacterium. Its description in RNAcentral is "partial 16S ribosomal RNA". It matches the Rfam family "Bacterial small subunit ribosomal RNA", at positions 506 to 807 of the family's 1533-position model. The record is from RNAcentral.
CAGCAGUAGCCACGGUAAUACGAAGGGGGCUAGCGUUGUUCGGAAUUACUGGGCGUAAAGCGCGUGUAGGCGGGUCCUUAAGUCAGGGGUGAAAUGCCAAGGCUCAACCUUGGAACUGCCUUUGAUACUGGGGAUCUUGAGUCCGGGAGAGGUGAGUGGAACUGCGAGUGUAGAGGUGAAAUUCGUAGAUAUUCGCAAGAACACCAGUGGCGAAGGCGGCUCACUGGCCCGGAACUGACGCUGAGACGCGAAAGCGUGGGGAGCAAACAGGAUUAGAUACCCGUGUAGUCCCUGUCUCUUAUAC